AUUGAACGCUGGCGGCAUGCUUUACACAUGCAAGUCGAACGGUAACAGGCCUUCGGGUGCUGACGAGUGGCGAACGGGUGAGUAAUGCAUCGGAACGUACCUUUCAGUGGGGGAUAACGUAGCGAAAGUUACGCUAAUACCGCAUAUUCUGUGAGCAGGAAAGCAGGGGAUCGCAAGACCUUGCGCUGAUUGAGCGGCCGAUGUCAGAUUAGCUAGUUGGUGAGGUAAAGGCUCACCAAGGCGACGAUCUGUAGCGGGUCUGAGAGGAUGAUCCGCCACACUGGAACUGAGACACGGUCCAGACUCCUACGGGAGGCAGCAGUGGGGAAUUUUGGACAAUGGGGGCAACCCUGAUCCAGCCAUGCCGCGUGAGUGAAGAAGGCCU
RNAcentral lists this ribosomal RNA (385 nucleotides) under uncultured bacterium. Its description in RNAcentral is "bacterial SSU rRNA". It matches the Rfam family "Bacterial small subunit ribosomal RNA", at positions 30 to 417 of the family's 1533-position model. The record is from RNAcentral.